CCUACGGGGGGCUGCAGGGGGGAAUAUUGGACAAUGGGCGAAAGCCUGAUCCAGCAAUGCCGCGUGAGUGAUGAAGGCCUUAGGGUUGUAAAGCUCUUUUACCAGGGAUGAUAAUGACAGUACCUGGAGAAUAAGCUCCGGCUAACUCCGUGCCAGCAGACGCGGAAAUACGGAGGGAGCUAGCGUUGUGCGGAAUUACUGGGCGUAAAGCGCACGUAGGCGGUUUUUCAAGUCAGGGGUGAAAGCCCGGAGCUCCACUCCGGAAUUGCCCUUGAAACUGUAUGACUAGAAUCUUGGAGAGGUCAGUGGACUUCCGAGUGUAGCGGUGAAAUUCGUAGAUAUUCGGAAGAACACCAGUGGCGAAGGCGACUGACUGGACAAGUAUUGACGCUGAUGUGCGAAAGCGUGGGGAGCAAACAGGAUUAGAUACCCUAGUAGUC
RNAcentral lists this ribosomal RNA (440 nucleotides) under uncultured bacterium. RNAcentral's name for it is "partial 16S ribosomal RNA". It matches the Rfam family "Bacterial small subunit ribosomal RNA", at positions 338 to 795 of the family's 1533-position model. The record is from RNAcentral.